This 70-nucleotide transfer RNA is filed under the name Candidatus Latescibacterota bacterium. RNAcentral's name for it is "tRNA-OTHER". It matches the Rfam family "tRNA". Rfam says of the family: Transfer RNA (tRNA) molecules are approximately 80 nucleotides in length. Their secondary structure includes four short double-helical elements and three loops (D, anti-codon, and T loops). Lineage: Bacteria; Pseudomonadati; Candidatus Latescibacterota. The record is from RNAcentral.
CGGGAGGUAGCUCAGGGGCAAGAGCGUCUGCUCAGGCAGAAGGUCGAAGGUUCGAAUCCUCCCCUCCCGG